CAAAACCUAAACUAAACCAAAAAAACUUGUGGUACAGGCUGGGGUGUGCCCAGGUCGAGUUGUAGGAGAGGCCAGAGUGAGGAGUCUGGAUGUGGCACCAAGACCGAAACCCAUGGACAAGUGAACAUAGAGUAUGGGUGUUCUUGAGGGGCACACUUGAGACAAUGAAGAAAAAAGCCAGGUGUUUUGCCACCCAGGCAAAUUGCCACAGCCCCCGUCACUGAGUGUAGCAAAGCAGGCUCAGCCCAAAGAGGAGCAGGCAGCAACACACCCUUCCUCUGAGGGCUCAAAUCAAGAUGCCAUCUGUUUCACUCAACCAUUUUACAGAUGGAGAAAUUCAGAUCAAGUCAACAUGUUUUUAUUGAGGACCAUCCCUUUGUCCAGGCUUUGGAGGGACCUUGAGGGGAGGCGAGUAGGGGAGGGAGAGAAGAUCCUAAGCUAUUUAAGCUUCACUCCAUGUAACAAGUAACCUGCCCAAGGCCUCAGGCCAAUGUGAUGUGAACAGGCACAAGGUUGAGCAGGACGACUGGAAAAUGACAAGCUGGGUGCAGUGCUAGGGGCAGUGGCAGUCUGGGUGGAUUUCUCAAAAGAAGUGGAUUCAAGUCGACCUUGAAGGGUGGGAAGAUUUGGAGAAGGAAGAGUAGGUUUGCCCAGCCCUUGAGGCUGGGUAGCUGGGCACAGCGUAGCAGGAAAAGGACCUGGCCCAACCUGAUGACUUCAGUGAGACAGGGGGUAUCAAGGGAUGUCAGGCUGAAGAGGGUAGUGCAGGGCCCCAAACAACAAGCUAAGGCUCUAGCUCUGGCCUGGAGAUAGGAGGGAGCCUCUGCAGGUCUUACAUUGGGGAAGGCAGGAUGGUUGUCUCAGGUGUGUCCAUGGUCAGUCUCCCCAAGGCUUAGGUGGUGGGACAAUCUGUUAGGCUCCCUCCCUGCAUAACCACCCUCAAAAAUGUCUCUGCUUCUCAGGUCCUUAAUGCUGGUUCAGUCUCAUCCAAAAGGCCAUCUUCUCCUCCCUGAGCUUCACACCCACCCUUGUGGUGAAAUCCAGCUGCAGGUCCCCGGCCCCGCCUACCUCAGGAAGCCCAGGAUGCCGAGCCUAUGGCUGCAGCAGCACGAGCAGCACUUUCUCGCGGGCGGCGAGUUCAGAGGCAUCGCAUAUGGAAGCGGAGCCCACGAGGCAGGCGCCUGCUGGGAACAAGACCAUCACCCGGGCGUGGAAAGCCGAGGCCUGCGGGGGGGGGGGGGGGGGGGGGGNNNNNNNNNNNNNNNNNNNNNNNNNNNNNNNNNNNNNNNNNNNNNNNNNNGGGGGGGGUUGGGGGUGGAGUGGCUGAGCCUGGCGGCGCGCAGAUGAACAUGAAUACUCAGCGGCCGCAGAGCGUCCCCACGCGCACGCACUGACGCGUGCACGUUCAGGUACGGACCGUCCUCGCUGAAGCUCAGCCACUUGUGUUGUUGAGAUACAUGGAAGUGUUCUGCCCCAGGCGUCCUGAAGAUCCCUGAGGGCACGAUAUGAAUUUGGGCUCAGUGUGAUGCCCACAAAGGGGAGAAUGGUUGUAAACACAGUUCCUAAAGUUGAGGGAAUAGAACCAAAAGCAAAAUUUAGGCAGUGUGUGUGUGUGUGUGUGUGUGUGUGUGCGCGCGCGCGCGCACCUAUCUGCCUGUAUCUGAGUGGCUUUCACUAGCUUUAGGGUCCAGGGGUGGGAGGCAGCUUGGCCUCCCCAAGAUCCACCCCUCUGCUUUGAGCCUGGCCCCAUGAGUCUGUGUGAGGAGAGGUUCUCUGCUCCUGUUGGAGACCCUGUUGGUGCCGUCAAGCCAGAAACCUGGGUGCCCUGGGCACCUCUCUGUCUUUCAUGUCCUCUCCUUCCCCUCAGUCUCUGUUCUGCCUUCCAAACAGCUCUUAAAUAGGCCUCCUCCUCUAUUCCAGAGCUGCUGCCCUGCAAAGGCCAUUACCACCUCUGACCAGGACACUGCCCCAGCCUCUUUACAUCCCUUCCAACUCAUCCUCCACAGAGGAUUGAUAGAAAACAAAAACCUGACCUUUCCACUCCCCUCCUUAACCAACCCCCCCCCCCCCCCCCCCCC
Molecule: long non-coding RNA, 2078 nt
Organism: Ailuropoda melanoleuca (giant panda)
Lineage: Eukaryota; Metazoa; Chordata; Mammalia; Carnivora; Ursidae
Source: Ensembl